CUCCCCAGGAGACCCGGUAUCAGUGGCGAGCUGCCUUCUCUCCUCGCCGCUUGCAGGUUUGGCGCCUGGAAAACUCUUCACGUUCUGCUUUCUCCUGCUCCUGGCUCCGCCCCAGCUCCAGCCCCGGCAUUCCUCCAGCUCUACACGUCCUGGCCGCCCCCUUCCCGCUGCCUCUAGAGCGAGCGUACGGGGUCAUCUCCGCGUCUGCCCUGGGCCCAAGGCUGGGCUGCGAAUAGCGUGUUCCUCUCCGGCGGAACACACACACCCGGCCUUGGGGCUGUCUCCUGAGCUCCCUCCUCCACGGAGAGCGCUGAGCGCCGCCGGGAAUUCCAUCCCACCGUGGGCACGCAGUCUUUGGAGGUCCCGGGCGCAGCACGCUCGGUGUCCCCACACUGCAGCAAGACAGAGACCCCGCGGGAACCUUGAGCUUGGAACAACCCUUGAGCCUCUGCAGUCGGAAGAGUGGGCGCAGCAGCCCAGCGGAGGCCAGGCGCGCAACCUCGGGCGCCGGGGCAAGGAGAGAGUGCAGGGAGGCGCAGCUCAGGCGCCCGGCUCAGGAGCGGGAGGAAGUUCUCGCGGCGCCGGGAGCGCGGUGGACGCGCCCUGGGCGCACGCCCAGGCAGCCUUCUCCCUGGCCCUCGGGACUGUCCUCGGGCCGCAAGGAGGAGCUUGCUGGAGUCUUAGAGGCCAUCCAGAGCCAGCGAGCAGGAGCGCUGCGUCUCCCGCCUCAGCUAGGAAGGGGGAGUGGCGCUGGCAGGCUGGAGCUGGGAACCCAGCGAGCGCCUGACCUUCCUCCUCCUCUUCCUGACCCUCUUCGCGUCUUGGGCUCCGGAGGAAGGUUCUAGCGGCUGCAGGAGGUCCCCAGACCCAUUUUCCUAGAAGGCUGGUGAUGGAUCUGCUGCUCCUGCCGCCGCCGGGGCACUUGGAGCGCACCGGCGGCGCGUGAGCUGGGCUUUGCUCUCCACUGCCCUGGGCAAACCCCGGGCCAGCCCCGCCUGGCACCUUUGCCUGAGUCCCUUUCGGUUCCCGACCCAAAGCCACCAGCGUCCAGGGAGGGAGGAGGAGGUGGUCCUCAGGUGCAGCCCCGCCGAGAUGUCCGCGCAGAGCCUGCUCCACAGCGUCUUCUCCUGUUCCUCGCCCGCUUCAAGUAGCGCGGCCUCGGCCAAGGGCUUCUCCAAGAGGAAGCUGCGCCAGACCCGCAGCCUGGACCCGGCCCUGAUCGGCGGCUGCGGGAGCGACGAGGCGGGCGCGGAGGGCAGUGCGCGGGGAGCCACGGCGGGCCGCCUCUACUCCCCAUCACUCCCAGCCGAGAGUCUCGGCCCUCGCUUGGCGUCCUCUUCCCGGGGUCCGCCCCCCAGGGCCACCAGGCUACCGCCUCCUGGACCUCUUUGCUCGUCCUUCUCCACACCCAGCACCCCGCAGGAGAAGUCACCAUCCGGCAGCUUUCACUUUGACUAUGAGGUUCCCCUGGGUCGCGGCGGCCUCAAGAAGAGCAUGGCCUGGGACCUGCCUUCUGUCCUGGCCGGGCCAGCCAGUAGCCGAAGCGCUUCCAGCAUCCUCUGUUCAUCCGGGGGAGGCCCCAAUGGCAUCUUCGCUUCUCCUAGGAGGUGGCUCCAGCAGAGGAAGUUCCAGUCCCCACCCGACAGUCGCGGGCACCCCUACGUCGUGUGGAAAUCCGAGUUGGAGUUGUAUGAUCUUCAGAUCUUAGGCACAAAACCACCGAUGAAUUCCGAUACACAUCGUAACUUUGACCCCACCGCAACCCUUAGAAAUCAGGGUGAUUUCACCUGGAACAGCAUGUCAGGCCGCAGUGUACGGCUGAGGUCAGUCCCCAUCCAGAGUCUCUCAGAGCUGGAGAGGGCCCGGCUGCAGGAAGUGGCUUUUUAUCAGUUGCAACAGGACUGUGACCUGAGCUGUCAGAUCACCAUUCCCAAAGAUGGACAAAAGAGAAAGAAAUCUUUAAGAAAGAAACUGGAUUCACUAGGAAAGGAGAAAAACAAAGACAAAGAAUUCAUCCCACAGGCAUUUGGAAUGCCCUUAUCCCAAGUCAUUGCGAAUGACAGGGCCUAUAAACUCAAGCAGGACUUGCAGAGGGACGAGCAGAAAGAUGCAUCUGACUUUGUGGCUUCCCUCCUCCCAUUUGGAAAUAAAAGACAAAACAAAGAACUCUCAAGCAGUAACUCAUCUCUCAGCUCAACCUCAGAAACACCGAAUGAGUCAACGUCCCCAAACACCCCGGAACCGGCUCCUCGGGCUAGGAGGAGGGGUGCCAUGUCAGUGGAUUCUAUCACCGAUCUUGAUGACAAUCAGUCUCGACUACUAGAAGCUUUACAACUUUCCUUGCCUGCUGAGGCUCAAAGUAAAAAGGAAAAAGCCAGAGAUAAGAAACUCAGUCUGAAUCCUAUUUACAGACAGGUCCCUAGGCUGGUGGACAGCUGCUGUCAGCACCUAGAAAAACAUGGCCUCCAGACAGUGGGGAUAUUCCGAGUUGGAAGCUCAAAAAAGAGAGUGAGACAAUUACGUGAGGAAUUUGACCGUGGGAUUGAUGUCUCUCUGGAGGAGGAGCACAGUGUUCAUGAUGUGGCAGCCUUGCUGAAAGAGUUCCUGAGGGACAUGCCAGACCCCCUUCUCACCAGGGAGCUGUACACAGCUUUCAUCAACACUCUCUUGUUGGAGCCGGAGGAACAGCUGGGCACCUUGCAGCUCCUCAUAUACCUUCUACCUCCCUGCAACUGCGACACCCUCCACCGCCUGCUACAGUUCCUCUCCAUCGUGGCCAGGCAUGCCGAUGACAACAUCAGCAAAGAUGGGCAAGAGGUCACUGGGAAUAAAAUGACAUCUCUAAACUUAGCCACCAUAUUUGGACCCAACCUGCUGCACAAGCAGAAGUCAUCAGACAAAGAAUUCUCAGUUCAGAGUUCAGCCCGGGCUGAGGAGAGCACGGCCAUCAUCGCUGUUGUGCAAAAGAUGAUUGAAAAUUAUGAAGCCCUGUUCAUGGUUCCCCCAGAUCUCCAGAACGAAGUGCUGAUCAGCCUGUUAGAGACCGAUCCUGAUGUCGUGGACUAUUUACUCAGAAGAAAGGCUUCCCAAUCAUCAACAAGUUCUGUGCUUCCGGCUGCAGUGCAGGCCUGCCCACAGUACCCUGCCAGCAUGUUUACGCCCUGACCUGGAGGGACCAGCUAAGGAAGCCCUGACAUGCUGCAGUCGGAAGUUUCCUUUUCCGUGGGAGGGAGGCAUUCAUCUACAGACUCCAACAAGGCCUCCAGCGGAGACAUCUCCCCUUAUGACAACAACUCCCCAGUGCUGUCUGAGCGCUCCCUGCUGGCUAUGCAAGAGGACGCGGCCCCGGGGGGCUCGGAGAAGCUUUACAGAGUGCCAGGGCAGUUUAUGCUGGUGGGCCACUUGUCGUCGUCAAAGUCAAGGGAAAGUUCUCCUGGACCAAGGCUUGGGAAAGAUCUGUCAGAGGAGCCUUUCGAUAUCUGGGGAACUUGGCAUUCAACAUUAAAAAGCGGAUCCAAAGACCCAGGAAUGACAGGUUCCUCUGGAGACAUUUUUGAAAGCAGCUCCCUAAGAGCGGGGCCCUGCUCCCUUUCUCAAGGGAACCUGUCCCCAAAUUGGCCUCGGUGGCAGGGGAGCCCCGCAGAGCUGGACAGCGACACGCAGGGGGCUCGGAGGACUCAGGCCGCAGCCCCCGCGACGGAGGGCAGGGCCCACCCUGCGGUGUCGCGCGCCUGCAGCACGCCCCACGUCCAGGUGGCAGGGAAAGCCGAGCGGCCCACGGCCAGGUCGGAGCAGUACUUGACCCUGAGCGGCGCCCACGACCUCAGCGAGAGUGAGCUGGAUGUGGCCGGGCUGCAGAGCCGGGCCACACCUCAGUGCCAAAGACCCCAUGGGAGUGGGAGGGAUGACAAGCGGCCCCCGCCUCCAUACCCGGGCCCAGGGAAGCCCGCGGCAGCGGCAGCCUGGAUCCAGGGGCCCCCGGAAGGCGUGGAGACACCCACGGACCAGGGAGGCCAAGCAGCCGAGCGAGAGCAGCAGGUCACGCAGAAAAAACUGAGCAGCGCCAACUCCCUGCCAGCGGGCGAGCAGGACAGUCCGCGCCUGGGGGACGCUGGCUGGCUCGACUGGCAGAGAGAGCGCUGGCAGAUCUGGGAGCUCCUGUCGACCGACAACCCCGAUGCCCUGCCCGAGACGCUGGUCUGAGCCCGCACCCAGCCGAGCCCCCCCUGCCCCGAGCCCCCCGCCCUCCAGCCCAGGGGGGACCGUGGGUGGUGGCCACUGGCACACUUAGUGUUCUUCUUUCACACUUCUCAAAAGUGACACAAGAGAAAUCCAGUUCACCUACAGAGGUAGAGCACUCACGCCCCCGCCAUUGAGAAUAAGGUUCCAUUGCGUAGCCAGCCUUAGGAAAAACAAACAGAACCCAAACCAGAUGGCAAUGUCCAAUCUAAAAACGUCCCUCUUGGCUCUAUAAUAUAAGAUACAACUCUUGCUUGGUAUAGCCUAACCGUAUUUAUGUGUCUUCGGUUUUGACUAUUGUGUAUUCUGUAACAGAUUAUGUAUAAUCAUAUAUGAUAUAUUCACAAAGAGAAAACAAAAGGAACUUUUAAAAAAAAAAUCACUUCACUUAUAUUAAGCAAUGAGAUAUACUAAACAAUGAGAUUCUAUAGAAUGUUCUAGAAUGUGCACAAGCGGGUUUCUGUGCUUUUGCCAUAGCUUUAUAACUGGGGAUAACCCUUCCUUCGAUACCAAACACUAACAAGAGGAAGCAGAAUAUGAGAAGCCAUAUUUUUACAUAGGAGUCAGAUACAAAAAGAAAAAUCACUGAAUGCUUUUAGAUAUUGAAUACGUUUUCAGGAAAAUGCUAAAUCUGAUAGAUUACGAAAUAUAUUUUUAGAACUUGUUUAGAAAGGAUUCAGUUAACCAAACAAGAAAAAGGCAGUGCCUCACAAAGAAAUUAAGAAGUUGUCCGUCCCACGUUACAUCAAAUUCAGUUUUAUAUAGGCCAUAUAUAAUAUAUAUUUAUAAUGUAUAAUUUUUAUGUAUUUUUCAAAACUACAAACUGGAAUCCAACUAUAAAGUGUUUAAGAAUCUACACAGAAUAUUCAAAUUAUAGAACAUGUUUUUUCCCUUUGCCCCAUAAUCAGUAUUUGCCAAAUUACAUGCAAUUCCUUAAAAACUAAAUCACAUUUGGUAAAAGGCCUACAGCUUUGUACUUACAUUGUGCCAAAGGCUGAGGAAAUGUUUUCUUUCGUAAUUUUAUGUGUAUUGUAAAAUGUUCUACCGUACUUUAGUAGUUUGAAGUUUUUCAAGUGCAUAACUAUUUUUGACCAGCAGAUGGCGAUACGCUUCAGUAUUUUAUGCAAUUUUUUUUCACUUCUGAAGGGAAAGUGUAUUAUAAAAAAAGAUUUUUUUUUUUUUUAUAAAACAUGCUACUCUUAAUUUUCAUGUUGGUGAUGAAAUUCCCAGUGGUGUUUCUUAAGGUUCUAUCUUGUGCCAUGAUGAAUAAAAAGUUAAGCAAA
RNA transcript from Homo sapiens (human), 5522 nucleotides. It is a transcript of the gene named Rho GTPase activating protein 6, with no coding region annotated. The record is from RefSeq and is marked reviewed. NCBI's taxonomy places the organism in Eukaryota, Metazoa, Chordata, Mammalia, Primates, Hominidae. The transcript has 15 exons.